UGGGGAAUCUUCCGCAAUGGACGAAAGUCUGACGGAGCAACGCCGCGUGAGGGAUGAAGGCCUUCGGGUUGUAAACCUCUGUCUUCAGGGAAGAAAAAAAUGACGGUACCUGAGGAGGAAGCCCCGGCUAACUACGUGCCAGCAGCCGCGGUAAUACGUAGGGGGCGAGCGUUAUCCGGAAUUAUUGGGCGUAAAGGGCGCGUAGGCGGAUAUUUAAGUCAGAUGUGAAAACCCAGGGCUCAACCCUGGAUCUGCAUCUGAUACUGGGUAUCUUGAGGACAGGAGAGGAAAGUGGAAUUCCUAGUGUAGCGGUGAAAUGCGUAGAUAUUAGGAGGAACACCAGUGGCGAAGGCGACUUUCUGGACUGUAACUGACGCUGAGGCGCGAAAGCGUGGGGAGCAAACA
Molecule: ribosomal RNA, 405 nt
Filed under: uncultured Eubacteriales bacterium
Lineage: Bacteria; Bacillati; Bacillota; Clostridia; Eubacteriales
Description: uncultured Clostridiales bacterium partial 16S ribosomal RNA
Rfam family: Bacterial small subunit ribosomal RNA
Source: RNAcentral